AGGACGAACGCUGGCGGCGUGCUUAACACAUGCAAGUCGAGCGGAAAGGCCCUUUCGGGGGUACUCGAGCGGCGAACGGGUGAGUAACACGUGAGUAACCUGCCCUUCACUUUGGGAUAACCCUCGGAAACGGGGGCUAAUACCGGAUAUGACACACAGUCGCAUGGUUUGUGUGUGGAAAGAUUUUUUGGUGGGGGAUGGGCUCGCGGCCUAUCAGCUUGUUGGUGGGGUGAUGGCCUACCAAGGCGACGACGGGUAGCCGGCCUGAGAGGGCGACCGGCCACACUGGGACUGAGACACGGCCCAGACUCCUACGGGAGGCAGCAGUGGGGAAUAUUGCACAAUGGGCGGAAGCCUGAUGCAGCGACGCCGCGUGAGGGAUGACGGCCUUCGGGUUGUAACCUCUUUCAGCAGGGACGAGCGAGAGUGACGGUACCUGCAGAAGAAGCGCCGGCCAACGUCGUGCCAGCAGCCGC
RNAcentral lists this ribosomal RNA (476 nucleotides) under uncultured bacterium. Its description in RNAcentral is "SSU rRNA". It matches the Rfam family "Bacterial small subunit ribosomal RNA", at positions 26 to 518 of the family's 1533-position model. The record is from RNAcentral.